Molecule: small nuclear RNA, 107 nt
Organism: Rhincodon typus (whale shark)
Lineage: Eukaryota; Metazoa; Chordata; Chondrichthyes; Orectolobiformes; Rhincodontidae
Source: RefSeq, a predicted model, not a curated record
GUACUUGCUUUAGCAGAACAUACACUAAAAUUGGAAUGAUAAAGAGAACAUUAGAAUGGCCCUUGUCCAAGGAUGACAUGCAAAUUCAUGAAUCAUCCUAUACUUUU